GACGAACGCUGGCGGCGUGCUUAACACAUGCAAGUCGAACGGAAAGGCCCCUUUGGGGGUACUCGAGUGGCGAACGGGUGAGUAACACGUGAGUAACCUGCCCUUGACUUCGGGAUAACUUCAGGAAACUGGGGCUAAUACCGGAUAGGAAUCCUUGCUGCAUGGUGGGGGUUGGAAAGCUUCGGCGGUUUUGGAUGGACUCGCGGCUUAUCAGCUUGUUGGUGGGGUAGUGGCUUACCAAGGCUUUGACGGGUAGCCGGCCUGAGAGGGCGACCGGCCACAUUGGGACUGAGAUACGGCCCAGACUCCUACGGGGGGCAGCAGUGGGGAAUAUUGCACAAGGGGCGGAAGCCUGAUGCAGCAACGCCGCGUGCGGGAUGACGGCCUUCGGGUUGUAAACCGCUUUCAGCAGGGGCGAAGCUUGUGGUGACGGUACCUGCAGAAGAAGCACCGGCUAACUACGUG
RNAcentral lists this ribosomal RNA (465 nucleotides) under uncultured bacterium. RNAcentral's name for it is "partial 16S ribosomal RNA". It matches the Rfam family "Bacterial small subunit ribosomal RNA", at positions 28 to 507 of the family's 1533-position model. The record is from RNAcentral.